ACUCGGGUUUCCUUCAGACUAUACCAGUCUUCUGCCUGUUACUGAAGAUUUCCGUGGAGAGGAAAAGCACAGUGAAAUCUGAAAUUUUUUUGCUCUAUUUAUGUCUUUUCUUAGUU
Dama dama (fallow deer) is the source of this 116-nucleotide small nuclear RNA. RefSeq annotates it as U5 spliceosomal RNA. NCBI's taxonomy places the organism in Eukaryota, Metazoa, Chordata, Mammalia, Artiodactyla, Cervidae. The transcript has a single exon. The record is from RefSeq and is a predicted model, not a curated record.